CUGGAACUGACGGGAACACACUGAGAACCCUUGAUGGUUGAAUUAGGGAUUAAUUCUCCGCAUGACUAAUUUCCACAAGGGGAAUCUGAAGUCAUGCUCUGAAAUCUCGUGAGAGGUGGGUUGUUGCAGGAAGGUGGAAGGAGGACGAUGCUGGAAAUGAGGGAGAGGAGAUGUCGUGUAUGUAGAGGAACUGCUACUAAGCUGGACAGUCUGCGGGCAGGUGGAAUGGAGAGAUGCUGAGGGAGAAAUAAAAACCAUUAGAAGUGGAAGAAUAGACAUGAGGGUCCAACUGCAGAGCUCACUCCUGCGGACAGGAGUCGGGGGGCUUUUCCCCCCAAGGAAUGAACUAAACAGGAUUUAACAACAUUCAGUUAUUUCCACAAAUUACUUUAAGUAGUGUUAUUGAAAAGUUGUUUGUCAGGUAACAGCCAAGGGCCAAAACUAAAAGCCUAAAUUUGGUUUCUUGUGUGUAAGGUCUGAAUAAAAUACUUAGACAAAUGACCCUAAACACGGGUGAUGUUAGGUAAAGUGCAGGUGAGCCUGUUGGUCAAGGUGGCAUUAAAGGGAGAGUAAGUGAUUCUGCAGAAGGAUUGGUCAAAUUUAAACUCCAAUGCAAAGCAGAUAAAACCCUCUCUUUAGGAACUCUCUCUGCCACCACUCUUGUGCACAACCACUUACGCCGCCUGUUGCUGAUUGGCUGAAACAGUGUUGUGGGGAAGGCCCUUCUCUGUUUUCCAAAGCCUGGGCUGUGUAGGGAAACUGGAGUUUAUUUUCAGAACACACACAAAACGGAGAGCUAGCAAACCGUCAGGAAAUUCUGAAUUUUAUAAAGUGGAUUGUGCAAGUGUGUAUUCUAAGUGUAUUACAAUCAAUUACUAUCCCUUUAAAGUUAGUACGGGGCUAUGAAACCGUGAACCAUCGAUUAUAAUAAAUCUAAACCCUCUGGAAUAAAGCUGAAAACAUUAACCUCUCUUGGAAUUAAGAAUGGCGACAGAGAAAUUGGCAGAUGGAUGCUGCUGUGAUCCAGCUUACAGAAAUAACAAUAGUUACAGGGGCACUCCACUGAGACGAUUGGCUCACAGAGGUUGCGGCAAUAUCUGAUUAGUUUAACUGAGUCAUCUGAUUGAAUUAGGCGCUGGAACAGAGAGAGACAGAGAGUAAUUAAUAAAAAGAUAAGCAUGAAGGCAGUCGUCUUUCCUGAUUGAACUCAUCGCUUCAGACUCACCUCACUCCUGCGGACCCCAGGGUGCAAGCCAAGAGCGAGCGUGGAGGGAUCCCAGCAAUGAGGUCUGCAAUUGGAUCCUUUUUGUAAAAGAAGAAAAGACUGGACAGGCAGGAGGAAAAGCUGGAUUAAGACACAUAAGUUAGCAUAUAGCCUCACAGUUGGAGAUAAAAGUGAGUGUAGGGCUGGAAUAGCAAGGGAAUGAUUAAUAUACAAAGUGAUGACUAAAUGGAGAGAGAGAGCAAACAGAACAGAGUGUGGACACUAGACUAAUAUGAGAAUUAGUUCAGAAUAAUUAAUUAAGCCAUGAAUGAGAGAUGGUAGUUGCUCUCUUAUUUGUGUCCUGUGUUCAUGGUAAUGAGGUUGAUAAACCGAUAUAUCAGACCAUUGUUGCCCCUCACCAGAUACGACGCCUCACAGCCUUUAAAUAAACAGUCUGGGACAUCUG
This is a long non-coding RNA of Micropterus salmoides (largemouth bass), 1670 nucleotides long. RefSeq lists it as uncharacterized. NCBI's taxonomy places the organism in Eukaryota, Metazoa, Chordata, Actinopteri, Centrarchiformes, Centrarchidae. The transcript has 3 exons. The record is from RefSeq and is a predicted model, not a curated record.